This 294-nucleotide long non-coding RNA is filed under the name Trifolium pratense (red clover). Its description in RNAcentral is "long non-coding RNA (TPRA_LNC007817)". The record is from RNAcentral. Lineage: Eukaryota; Viridiplantae; Streptophyta; Magnoliopsida; Fabales; Fabaceae.
GGUCUGAGGACAUCCCUGUGGAAAUAUGGAGAGAAUUGAUUCAACCCAGCAAUUUUAAGAAUGGUCUCCCGAAACCAACUUAUGAGUUAACUUUUAAAGGUGUUAAAGGAGGAGACAAAGUUAAGCAUACAAAUAGAAGGAAUCGAGGUUACAAGUAUAAAUUUGUAACUUUAUGGUUUAUAAUUGAUGAUUCUAGGUAUAUGAUAUUAACCCUACUAUUAUGGAAUGAUUUUAGUAUAUAUAAGUAUAAUUUAUGCUAUUAUGUGUAUGGUACUCUAUUAUUAUAGUAUGANN